GAUGAACGCUGGCGGCGUGCCUAAUACAUGCAAGUCGAGCGAACAGAUGAGGAGCUUGCUCCUCUGACGUUAGCGGCGGACGGGUGAGUAACACGUGGAUAACCUACCUAUAAGACUGGGAUAACUUCGGGAAACCGGAGCUAAUACCGGAUAAUAUAUUGAACCGCAUGGUUCAAUAGUGAAAGACGGUUUUGCUGUCACUUAUAGAUGGAUCCGCGCCGCAUUAGCUAGUUGGUAAGGUAACGGCUUACCAAGGCGACGAUGCGUAGCCGACCUGAGAGGGUGAUAGGCCACACUGGAGCUGAGACACGGUCCAGACUCCUACGAGAGGCAGCAGUAGGGAAUCUGACGCAAUGGGCGAAAGCCUGACGGAGCAGGGGCGCGUGAGUGAUGAAGGUCUUCCGUUCGUAAAACUCUGUUAUUAGUGGAGAACAAAUUUGUAAGUAGCUAUGCACGUCUUGACGGUACCUAAUCAGAAAGCCCCGGCUAACUACGUG
RNAcentral lists this ribosomal RNA (497 nucleotides) under uncultured bacterium. RNAcentral describes it as "partial 16S ribosomal RNA". It matches the Rfam family "Bacterial small subunit ribosomal RNA", at positions 28 to 507 of the family's 1533-position model. The record is from RNAcentral.